ACAGAAGGGAGCUUGCUCCCGGAUGUUAGCGGCGGACGGGUGAGUAACACGUGGGUAACCUGCCUGUAAGACUGGGAUAACUCCGGGAAACCGGAGCUAAUACCGGAUAGUUCCUUGAACCGCAUGGUUCAAGGAUGAAAGACGGUUUCGGCUGUCACUUACAGAUGGACCCGCGGCGCAUUAGCUAGUUGGUGGGGUAAUGGCUCACCAAGGCGACGAUGCGUAGCCGACCUGAGAGGGUGAUCGGCCACACUGGGACUGAGACACGGCCCAGACUCCUACGGGAGGCAGCAGUAGGGAAUCUUCCGCAAUGGACGAAAGUCUGACGGAGCAACGCCGCGUGAGUGAUGAAGGUUUUCGGAUCGUAAAGCUCUGUUGUUAGGGAAGAACAAGUGCGAGAGUAACUGCUCGCACCUUGACGGUACCUAACCAGAAAGCCACGGCUAACUACGUGCCAGCAGCCGCGGUAAUACGUAGGUGGCAAGCGUUGUCCGGAAUUAUUGGGCGUAAAGGGCUCGCAGGCGGUUUCUUAAGUCUGAUGUGAAAGCCCCCGGCUCAACCGGGGAGGGUCAUUGGAAACUGGGAAACUUGAGUGCAGAAGAGGAGAGUGGAAUUCCACGUGUAGCGGUGAAAUGCGUAGAGAUGUGGAGGAACACCAGUGGCGAAGGCGACUCUCUGGUCUGUAACUGACGCUGAGGAGCGAAAGCGUGGGGAGCGAACAGGAUUAGAUACCCUGGUAGUCCACGCCGUAAACGAUGAGUGCUAAGUGUUUAGGGGGGUUUCCGCCCCUUAGUGCUGCAGCUAACGCAUUAAGCACUCCGCCUGGGGGAGUACGGUCGCAAGACUGAAACUCAAAGGAAUUGACGGGGGCCCGCACAAGCGGUGGAACCAGGUGGUUUAAUUCGAAGCAACGCGAAGAACCUUACCAGGUCUUGACAUCCUCUGACAACCCUAGAGAUAGGGCUUUCCCUUCGGGGACAGAGUGACAGGUGGUGCAUGGUUGUCGUCAGCUCGUGUCGUGAGAUGUUUGGGUUAAGUCCCGCAACGAGCGCAACCCUUGAUCUUAGUUGCCAGCAUUCAGUUGGGCACUCUAAGGUGACUGCCGGUGACAAACCGGAGGAAGGUGGGGAUGACGUCAAAUCAUCAUGCCCCUUAUGACCUGGGCUACACACGUGCUACAAUGGACAGAACAAAGGGCUGCAAGACCGCAAGGUUUAGCCAAUCCCAUAAAUCUGUUCUCAGUUCGGAUCGCAGUCUGCAACUCGACUGCGUGAAGCUGGAAUCGCUAGUAAUCGCGGAUCAGCAUGCCGCGGUGAAUACGUUCCCGGGCCUUGUACACACCGCCCGUCACACCACGAGAGUUUGCAACACCCGAAGUCGGUGAGGUAAC
Molecule: ribosomal RNA, 1390 nt
Filed under: Bacillus sp. AR401
Lineage: Bacteria; Bacillati; Bacillota; Bacilli; Caryophanales; Bacillaceae
Description: bacterial SSU rRNA
Rfam family: Bacterial small subunit ribosomal RNA
Source: RNAcentral